AGGACCGAGAGGAUGUAGCCCUUCCUCACCGGCGCUCGGUCCGCAGAUGCGACGCGCGAGAGUGAAGGAUGAGCGGAAGUGGCCCACUCCCUCCUCUUCGCUGCCGCCCUCCCUCCCUUGUCCGUCGCCUCUCUUUCCCCACACCGCCUCCUCUCCUUCUCCCAGCGGGCUCAUCGCUCCUCUGUGGACGAAAUCCAUGGGAAUCACGCUCAACAUCGUGGAGGAUGCGGUAGUGACAUGGGAAGUCGACGGCGCCGACGAGGAUGGAGACAGAAACUCACUGGUCCGGUUUGCAUCUUAUAUUUGUCACGUGGCCGACGUACUGGGCUCCAGCACCGUCGUUGGAGGCGAGGGCCAUCAUUGGCGUCCAGUGACGAGCGCACAACUUUGCCUUGCAUGGAUGUCACUGCUUCGACUGCCACCCAAACAUAUUGCAGGUAUGCCAAGAAAGAUCCAUCGGAAAAUAUUAAAACUAAAUGGCUCCUGCCGAAGGAAUGUACUGAUGAUGAGUCUACCACCUAAAUUUACCAAGUAUACUACUACGAUGCCCUGCGG
Lolium perenne is the source of this 555-nucleotide non-coding RNA. Lineage: Eukaryota; Viridiplantae; Streptophyta; Magnoliopsida; Poales; Poaceae. The record is from RefSeq and is a predicted model, not a curated record.